GGUUAAGCGACUAAGCGUACACGGUGGAUGCCCUGGCAGUCAGAGGCGAUGAAGGACGUGCUAAUCUGCGAUAAGCGUCGGUAAGGUGAUAUGAACCGUUGUAACCGGCGAUUUCCGAAUGGGGAAACCCAGUGUGAUUCGUCACACUAUCAUUAACUGAAUCCAUAGGUUAAUGAGGCGAACCGGGGGAACUGAAACAUCUAAGUACCCCGAGGAAAAGAAAUCAACCGAGAUUCCCCCAGUAGCGGCGAGCGAACGGGGAG
Molecule: ribosomal RNA, 263 nt
Filed under: Escherichia coli
Lineage: Bacteria; Pseudomonadati; Pseudomonadota; Gammaproteobacteria; Enterobacterales; Enterobacteriaceae
Also listed under: 1 other name
Description: partial 23S ribosomal RNA
Rfam family: Bacterial large subunit ribosomal RNA
Source: RNAcentral